RNAcentral lists this ribosomal RNA (490 nucleotides) under uncultured bacterium. RNAcentral's name for it is "partial 16S ribosomal RNA". It matches the Rfam family "Bacterial small subunit ribosomal RNA", at positions 30 to 507 of the family's 1533-position model. The record is from RNAcentral.
AUUGAACGCUGGCGGCAGGCCUAACACAUGCAAGUCGAACGGUAACAGGAAGAAGCUUGCUUCUUUGCUGACGAGUGGCGGACGGGUGAGUAAUGUCUGGGCAACUGCCUGAUGGAGGGGGAUACCUACUGGAAACGGUAGCUAAUACCGCAUAACGUCGCAAGCCCAAAAAGGGGGACCUUCGGGCCUCUUGCCAUCGGCUGUGCCCAGAUGGGAUUAGCUAGUAGGUGGGGUAACGGCUCACCUAGGCGACGAUCCCUAGCUGGUCUGAGAGGAUGACCAGCCACACUGGAACUGAGACACGGUCCAGACUCCUACGGGAGGAAGCAGUGGGGAAUAUUGCACAAUGGGCGCAAGCCUGAUGCAGCCAUGCCGCGUGUAUGAAGAAGGCCUUCGGGUUUUAAAGUACUUUCAGCGGGGAGGAAGGGAGUAAAGUUAAUACCUUUGCUCAUUGACGUUACCCGCAGAAGAAGCACCGGCUAACUCCGUG